This 581-nucleotide long non-coding RNA is filed under the name Nicotiana benthamiana. Its description in RNAcentral is "long non-coding RNA (NBEN_LNC038795)". The record is from RNAcentral. Lineage: Eukaryota; Viridiplantae; Streptophyta; Magnoliopsida; Solanales; Solanaceae.
UGACUCUUUCGAUUACCGAACUCCGACCAAAAGACUGAGAUGACCAUAGAAACACUACCACGAACCACAAAAGGGAACAAAUGGCUAACGACAAACUUGAAACGGACUCGCAAAACCCUCAAAUAUUCAAUUAAAACCUAUCAUUUUGAAGCCGUUUCCUGCUGCUAGGGUUUGUGUUCUUGUGUGUGUGUGCUGGGCUCAAAAAAGAAGAAAAGCCUGAAGGGAGAUGGCUGGAGCUCUUAGGUCAGUUCCCUGCUUAUUCUCUCGGUAACGAAUAGACGACGAAGAAGAAGAAGCAAUGGCGAUGCAGAAGUUUAAAUGAGACGAUAUCAGGGGUUGUUAGUUUUUUUGCUUUUAUUUUGCGGCUGACUUAAUGAAGCAGCAGCAACAGCUCCAAAUUUUUUGGAAGAAGACGAUGAGUCGAUGGGGGUGGGUUUCUUUGAUGAAAACCGUUGAUUCCCUAUGUCUUCUACGGCUGAUUGUCGUUGAGGCAGACGAGUCGAUAGGGUGGGGGUCGUUCGUAUUCUGGCUGCUGCGGUGUGAGAGAUUUUCUGAUUGUAUGCCUUUAUUGAUGAAAAAAG